AGUGAACGCUGGCGGUAGGCCUAACACAUGCAAGUCGAACGGCAGCACAGUAAGAGCUUGCUCUUACGGGUGGCGAGUGGCGGACGGGUGAGGAAUACAUCGGAAUCUACUUUUUCGUGGGGGAUAACGUAGGGAAACUUACGCUAAUACCGCAUACGACCUACGGGUGAAAGCAGGGGAUCUUCGGACCUUGCGCGAUUGAAUGAGCCGAUGUCGGAUUAGCUAGUUGGCGGGGUAAAGGCCCACCGAGGCGACGAUCCGUAGCUGGUCUGAGAGGAUGAUCAGCCACACUGGAACUGAGACACGGUCCAGACUCCUACGGGAGGCAGCAGUGGGGAAUAUUGGACAAUGGGCUCAAGCCUGAUCCAGCCAUACCGCGUGGGUGAAGAAGGCCUUCGGGUUGUAAAGCCCUUUUGUUGGGAAAGAAAAGCAGCAGGUUAAUACCCCGCUGUUCUGACGGUACCCAAAGAAUAAGCACCGGCUAACUUCGUG
Molecule: ribosomal RNA, 492 nt
Filed under: uncultured bacterium
Lineage: Bacteria
Description: partial 16S ribosomal RNA
Rfam family: Bacterial small subunit ribosomal RNA
Source: RNAcentral